UCUGAUGACUUAAAUCCGACGGCUCCCCGCCUCCCUCCCGAUCCGAUCCAGAUCGCGGAUCGCUUCCCCUCCCCCGGGCAAAAUCACCGCGCACUCCCUCCUCUUUCUAUCGCUCCUGCCGCCUCGCCUUUCGCCCUCCUCCAUCUCGCCAACGCCACCGCCACCGCCUCCGCCUCCGCCACCCCCUCCGCCCGCCGCCCGCCGCCCCUCCUCCCCUGCGCCGCCGCAUCCGCACCGCCCAACCCCGCCGGCCACCGAGGACGCGGAAACCGCACCUCACUCCCGGUCUCCCACGCCUCCCUCUCCUCUUUUAGUCAGAACGCGGACGCCCUCCUCUCUCGCAGCCGUCGUUGGAGCGAGCACCGCCACUCCAAUCGCCGGCAAUCCCCUUCGCCGUGCGCACCCGUCGUUGGAGCGAGAGCCGUCGUCGGUUCCUCCUCCACCGUCGCCGCCACCGGAUCACCGACGCCGACCGCCCGCAUCGUAGCCUCCGUGCCAAUCCCCCCAUCUCGCGAGCAGAGCAGGGGAGGGGAGGGGAGGGGAGGGGAGGGGUGCCGACGUGCCGUGGUCCUGCUGCAUCCCGGAAAGGAAGAUCAGCACAAUACUGACGGGACCGUCGCCCACGGCGCCGGCGACGAUUCACCGCCGACGUCAUCGUCCAACACCGUGACUUGGCCCUUCGUCCUCCAUGUCCACCGCGCCCUCGCCGCCAUUCAUAAGAACAACAUUGCAGCACCCAAUCUGUGGCACCCCAUCGACACAUACGACCGCGUCGCCCUGGCUCAUCGUGGCUAACCCCACCGACGAGGUAACUAGAUUUACCUUUUGCUUUUGUUCGAUUGUUUGACGGCCGAGCAACAGGGAUCGCGACCAGUCGGCAAGCUGACUGUUUUGGUUAACUGAUAAGUGAUAACUGAGGAAUUUAAAGCUGUGUGUGCUUGUCAUGUGCUUUCGGGUAGCUGUUCUUAACCACUGCCAAAAGUUUCGGAAGGUGAUAGAACCAAACAGGUAGUUCCUUAGCUGCCUGUGCAGUGUGCAGCGUGUCUCUGGACCAAAGGUUGUAAAUGUUGCAUAAAUGUUUUUUUUUUAAAAAAAUCCAGUUGAGGUACUCUUGGGUCCAAAGCCAUAAAUGCAUAAAUAAGGUCCAAAGGCACUAAUUUCCAUUGCUAGCUUUCUUGUCACUUAGUUUCAUUACAUUUGACAUAUACCCAGAUGAUUUUUGUUCUUGUUUGUGUACAGGUUCAGAGUUUUUUAUGUAAUAAUUACUCUCUUUCCAUAUAUGCAGUACAUUUUUAUUACACGAUAACAUCAGUGUUAAUGUUCUAUAUGGCAUUACUAUCAUUAUUUUUCAACUUAUGUCAUGCAUAUCAUUCCAUAUCUUUUACUUCUCUUUUAUUAUGAAAAUGACAUCUUUCUGAUUCGUUGAGGGCAUGCGGGGUAGUAUAUCUGUUAUUUUAAUAUAUUCAGUGUUUUCAUCAAUAUAUUGACCAAAUAUUCGGUUUAUAUCAGUAAAGGGCCAUGUUCUUUUCACAAGAUCUGUUUCUGAAUAUACAGACUGUGUUGCAACAUUUGUAGAAUUCAAGUUGUCCGUAGUCCUGCUUUGCAUGAGUAAAUGCCAAUCUUAUGUGUCUGAACUCUUUUCUUCUGUGUCUGAACUCUCAAGUGAUGAUCUAUGUUUCCCAAAAAAUCUUAUGUCUAGCAAACUUAGUUUCUGUUUCCAAAUGAAAAAUCAAGUAGUGAAUAAUGUACCUGUAUUAAAUGUACUGGUCUCUUAUUUAGUAAUGUAUCUAGAUACAUAUGCUGAAUUUUUAUAUAUAGAAGCAUAUGUUGCUUUUACACAUGAAGGUGUAUAUGCUAUCAGGUUUCUAUAAUAUGGUUCAUAAGUGAACAGCAUCAAAUGUCUACAUUACUUUAGUUUGAAUGUACACGCUGAUAUAAAAUUUAGAGAGCAUUCUUGGAAUGUACAUACUGUUAAGAAAAUUUAGAUGAAUUAAAUCCUUAUGCCUUAUAUGUUUUUUCUCACACAGUUGUAAGUUUGUUUGGAGAAGGGGACAUUCACAAACUGCUUGAAAGAGGUGUUUUGGUAUCUCAAUAUAUGGUGGAAUAUUUACUACUGCUUUUAGUAACUCCUAGAUAAUCUUUUUUUACAUACAUGCAUAACUAAAUUUGCAUAUAUCUUCAUGUGCAUUUGCGCUCUCUGAUAUUACAAUGGUAGGAUUUGUCUUUGAAUUGGUAUAGUGACGUAUUUCUGAUUCAUUAAGGGCAAACUGGGGAGUAGAACUGUUAUGUGCGAGAUAUUCAGUUUAUAUUUCUAAACUUGGGUGCACUUUGAAUCAGGACGAAUAGGCUCAGUUGAAUCUGUUGAGUUACAUAAAGAAGAGGUGGAU
RNAcentral lists this long non-coding RNA (2387 nucleotides) under Oryza sativa Indica Group (long-grained rice). RNAcentral's name for it is "lncRNA OsZS97_04G004740". The record is from RNAcentral. Lineage: Eukaryota; Viridiplantae; Streptophyta; Magnoliopsida; Poales; Poaceae.